Molecule: transfer RNA, 75 nt
Filed under: Microbacterium phage Pumpernickel
Lineage: Duplodnaviria; Heunggongvirae; Uroviricota; Caudoviricetes
Description: tRNA-Lys
Rfam family: tRNA
About the family: Transfer RNA (tRNA) molecules are approximately 80 nucleotides in length. Their secondary structure includes four short double-helical elements and three loops (D, anti-codon, and T loops). Further hydrogen bonds mediate the characteristic L-shaped molecular structure. tRNAs have two regions of fundamental functional importance: the anti-codon, which is responsible for specific mRNA codon recognition, and the 3' end, to which the tRNAs corresponding amino acid is attached (by aminoacyl-tRNA synthetases). tRNAs cope with the degeneracy of the genetic code in two manners: having more than one tRNA (with a specific anti-codon) for a particular amino acid; and 'wobble' base-pairing, i.e. permitting non-standard base-pairing at the 3rd anti-codon position.
Source: RNAcentral
GGGUCUCUGGUAUAACGGCAGAUUACUCCUCCCUCUUAAGGAGCGGAAUACGGGUUCGAAUCCCGUGGGACCCAC